RNAcentral lists this transfer RNA (85 nucleotides) under Trueperaceae bacterium. Its description in RNAcentral is "tRNA-Leu". It matches the Rfam family "tRNA". From Rfam's summary of the family: Transfer RNA (tRNA) molecules are approximately 80 nucleotides in length. Their secondary structure includes four short double-helical elements and three loops (D, anti-codon, and T loops). Lineage: Bacteria; Thermotogati; Deinococcota; Deinococci; Trueperales; Trueperaceae. The record is from RNAcentral.
GCCCUGGUGGCGGAAUUGGCAGACGCGCUAGAUUCAGGUUCUAGUGAGCAUUACGCUCGUGGAGGUUCGACUCCUCUCCAGGGCA